AUUGAACGCUGGCGGCAGGCCUAACACAUGCAAGUCGAACGAGUGGCGGACGGGUGAGUAAUGUCUGGGAAACUGCCCGAUGGAGGGGGAUAAAUACUGGAAAAGGUAGCUAAUACCGCAUACCCUCGGAUGUGCCCAGAUGGGAUUAGGUAGUAGGUGGGGUAACGUCUCACCUAGGCGACGAGUCCUAGCUGGUCUGAGAGGAUGACCAGCCACACUGGAACUGAGACACGGUCCAGACUCCUACGGGAGGCAGAAGUGGGGAAUAUUGCACAAUGGGCGCAAUCCUGAUGGAGUCAUGCCGCGUGUAUGAAGAAGGCCUUCGGGUUGUAAAGUACUUUCAUCGAGGAGGCGUUACUCGCAGAAGAAGCACCGGCUAACUCCGUGCCAGCAGCCGCGGUAAUAC
This 406-nucleotide ribosomal RNA is filed under the name uncultured bacterium. Its description in RNAcentral is "partial 16S ribosomal RNA". It matches the Rfam family "Bacterial small subunit ribosomal RNA", at positions 30 to 526 of the family's 1533-position model. The record is from RNAcentral.